RNAcentral lists this ribosomal RNA (778 nucleotides) under Filobasidium oeirense. RNAcentral describes it as "eukaryotic LSU rRNA". The stretch from base 165 to 778 matches the Rfam family "Eukaryotic large subunit ribosomal RNA", at positions 1 to 624 of the family's 3401-position model. The record is from RNAcentral. Lineage: Eukaryota; Fungi; Basidiomycota; Tremellomycetes; Filobasidiales; Filobasidiaceae.
UUAAAAGUAUUAGCUGGAUCUGUCUAUAUGACUGGUUUGACUUGGCAUAAUAAGUAUUUUGCUGAGGACAUCUUCGGAUGGCCAGGACCUAGACUAUUGUCUGCUAACUAAACCAUCACUUUAAGUGCAUCUUUGGAUGUUACUAAUUGUGUAACUUUGACAUCUGGCCUCAAAUCAGGUAGGACUACCCGCUGAACUUAAGCAUAUCAAUAAGCGGAGGAAAAGAAACUAACAAGGAUUCCCCUAGUAACGGCGAGUGAAGCGGGAAGAGCUCAAAUUUGAAAUCUGGUGGCCUCAGGUCAUCCGAGUUGUAAUCUAUAGAAGUGUUUUCCGUGCUGGCUCAUGUACAAGUCCCUUGGAACAGGGCGUCAUAGAGGGUGAGAAUCCCGUCCUUGACAUGAACUACCAGUGCUCUGUGAUACAUUUUCAACGAGUCGAGUUGUUUGGGAAUGCAGCUCAAAAUGGGUGGUAAAUUCCAUCUAAAGCUAAAUAUUGGCGAGAGACCGAUAGCGAACAAGUACCGUGAGGGAAAGAUGAAAAGCACUUUGGAAAGAGAGUUAAACAGUAUGUGAAAUUGUUGAAAGGGAAACGAUUGAAGUCAGUCGUGCUCUUUGGAUUCAGCCGGUUCUGCCGGUGUACUUCCUUUGAGUGGGGUCAACAUCAGUUUUGAUCGCUGGAUAAAGGCAGGAGGAACGUAGUACCCUCGGGUAAACUUAUAGCCUCUUGUCACAUACAGUGGUUGGGACUGAGGAACGCAGCACGCCUUUAUGGCCGGGAU